Molecule: ribosomal RNA, 253 nt
Filed under: uncultured bacterium
Lineage: Bacteria
Description: partial 16S ribosomal RNA
Rfam family: Bacterial small subunit ribosomal RNA
Source: RNAcentral
UACGGGGGGGGCAAGCGUUGUUCGGAAUUACUGGGCGUAAAGGGCGCGUAGGCGGACCUGCAAGUCGGGGGUGAAAGCCCGAGGCUCAACCUCGGAACUGCCUUCGAUACUGCGGGUCUCGAGUCCGGGAGAGGUGAGUGGAAUUCCUAGUGUAGAGGUGAAAUUCGUAGAUAUUAGGAAGAACACCAGUGGCGAAGGCGGCUCACUGGCCCGGUACUGACGCUGAGGCGCGAAAGCGUGGGGAGCAAACAGG